Thalassophryne amazonica is the source of this 233-nucleotide long non-coding RNA. RefSeq lists it as uncharacterized. The transcript has 3 exons. The record is from RefSeq and is a predicted model, not a curated record. NCBI's taxonomy places the organism in Eukaryota, Metazoa, Chordata, Actinopteri, Batrachoidiformes, Batrachoididae.
GAUUAAUUUGUCCCUCAACGAGCUCUUCUAUCUACAACCUCCAAAUCAAAGGUAAGGUGUACAGUUUCCUUCAUGAAUUGCGGGUGUAAUCAGCUGCACACCGCAUAAACUUUUAAAAUAUGAUGGGAGAGGAAGGAGUGAAAACGUAAAAGUGAUCAUAGCCUUUUGCGGUGUCCGAUGUAGCAGGUGCACAUCAGACUGUGGGUCCCGUCUGAGCACUGGAUGAAAACAAA